Molecule: ribosomal RNA, 500 nt
Filed under: uncultured bacterium
Lineage: Bacteria
Description: partial 16S ribosomal RNA
Rfam family: Bacterial small subunit ribosomal RNA
Source: RNAcentral
AUUGAACGCUGGCGGCAUGCUUUACACAUGCAAGUCGAACGGUAACAGGGUGCUUGCACCGCUGACGAGUGGCAAACGGGUGAGUAAUGCGUCGGAACGUGCCGAGUAGUGGGGGAUAACGCAGCGAAAGUUGUGCUAAUACCGCAUACGUACUGAGGUAGAAAGUGGGGGACCUUCGGGCCUCACGCUAUUCGAGCGGCCGACGUCUGAUUAGCUAGUAGGUGAGGUAAAGGCUCACCUAGGCGACGAUCAGUAGCGGGUCUGAGAGGAUGAUCCGCCACACUGGGACUGAGACACGGCCCAGACUCCUACGGGAGGCAGCAGUGGGGAAUUUUGGACAAUGGGCGAAAGCCUGAUCCAGCCAUGCCGCGUGUCUGAAGAAGGCCUUCGGGUUGUAAAGGACUUUUGUCAGGGAGGAAAUCCCUAGUGCUAAUAACACUGGGGGAUGACAGUACCUGAAGAAUAAGCGCCGGCUAACUACGUGCCAGCCGCCGCAGUAA